CGUGGACCCCGGGCGCCGACAGUGCGGACCCGGAGCAGGCGGCGUGGACCGGGGCGCGGGCGAGAAAACUCAAUCUAAAACUGAUACCUUCACACUGGAAUAAAUUGAGUCCAUCUGAAUUUCAAAAUGAAA
Molecule: long non-coding RNA, 132 nt
Organism: Hipposideros armiger (great roundleaf bat)
Lineage: Eukaryota; Metazoa; Chordata; Mammalia; Chiroptera; Hipposideridae
Exons: 2
Source: RefSeq, a predicted model, not a curated record